ACCAUUCAAAUUCAAAUUAUAAACAUACCUAAUUUAAUCCAUUUUACCUAGUUUAUGAAUAUUUAAACAUCAAUUUAACAUGCCAUAAUAAAACUUCAAAAACAAACACAUGUAUAUAUAUACCAAACCAAUAUUAAACUUAUAACUUCAUUUACAUUCAAUCCACAAAAUAACUAUUAAUUUGACACCCUAGGUACAUGCCGACACAAAAGAUAGAUAUCGCCACAUUUGAGUUAGGGAUAGUUGUUGGAUGCUGAAUCGGCAAUCAUAAGUUAAGUACCUAACCUGCGGAUGGAAAACAAAACCGUACGUUGAGUAUAAACUCAGUGGUAUUUCUAUAAUUCGAAUAUUUAAAGAUAAGAGAUUAAAAGUGUAUAUUUGAAAUAUAAACACAUAUUAAUAUUAUUUAAAAAUCAUAACUACCAUAUGCCAACUCUUUGAAUUCAUACAUAAUAGCAUAUCAUAUUUCAUUUGUUUCACAAAUAUCCCAAUUCUCAUACUUGUUAUAUAAAUAGUUUUUCAUAAUUUGUUUCACUUUUCAUUUAAACAACGGCAUUAUCCAUUCCAUAUUCAAUUCAUGAGUAUAUAACUCAUAUAUUCCAUGUAUUUACAACAUAUUUCACAUUUUAUUUUUAAUUCAUUAUUUCACUUCCAUUUCUCAUACCAUGCCAUUUCAAUAUCAAUUAUAAAACUUUAUUAUUCAUUUACCCCUAUUAACACGACCAGACUAACACGGAUAUAUGGAUCCAACCAAAACAAACCAGUUUGGCACCCAGUGUCUCAUCGGAUAAUUCGAAGUAAUAAUUUGACACCUAGUAUCUCAUCGGCUAAAUCGAAGUAAAUUGGCACCCAUUGCCUCAUCGAAUAUAUCCGAAGUAAUAAUUUGACACCUAGUGUCUUAUCGACUCGAAGUCAAAGAAAUCCCUGAACUCUUCCAAUCCUAUGGCAUGCCAUCUAUAUCCUACUUAACCCGAUACAGUUAAUAGGGUUUAAUUUCACUUUUCAAAUAAUCAAUUUAUUCAAUAUAUAUACCAAUUCAAUCAAUAUAAAUUCAAUAAAUUUAUCACAUACUAAAUCAAUCAAUUUCAAUUACAAAACACAAUAAUUCUCACCUCAACACUUACCAUAUACAUUAAAUUGAAUUAUAACAAUUAACAACUAAAUUCAUAUUAUAGAAAUACAAACUAGAAAUUCUGAGCUAUUCCUCGUCGACUUUAUCUUUUCCCUUUUUAGUCGAGGGUUCCGAUACGACGUUAGCUACAGAAUUAGAACAAUUAAAAAUCAUCAAUACAACACAAUUUAAUUUCAUAUUGAAUAUUUAAUUUUUACUCAAAUAUUGCCUAAAUUUCAAUUUAGUCCCUAAACCGAGACUAACUUUUAUUCUUCACAUUUGAUUCUUUAUUUUCAUGUAAAUUCCACUUUAGACUAAAUUCAACUCCUUAUUUUCACAUAAAUUCUUAAAUUUCAAUUUUUUGCAAUUUAGUCCCUAUUACACAAAAUUUACUAUUUGUUCUACAAUUUAAUCCUUUUUCAUUUGUAGCUUAAAAAUCUAUCAAUUUAAUCCCUAAUACUAAAAUUAUUCAACAUUAACAACACCUAAAAACUCAAUAAUUUCUAAAAUUUUGGCAUAGGUCGGGUAGUAUUUAACACCGGGAUUCUAAAAACAUAAAAAUUAAAAGAAAAAGGAACUAAAUUGACUAACCAAUUGAACUUAAAACUUUGAAACCCCUAAGUCCCUUCCUCAUUCUCAUUUCUCUCUUUUCUUUUUCCUCUUUCUUUCUUUUCUAAUUCGUUUGGAUUUCUCUGUUUCUUAUUUAUUCAUUCUUUAUUUAUUUGUUUUAUUAUAAUAUAAUAUAAUAUAUAUAUACUUAAUUCUUAAGGUAAAUAUAUUAUAAUAAUAUAUAUUUUAAUUAAAAUUUUAUAAUAUUUUCAUCCUUAUGCCGCCUCAUUUAAAGAUAAUGGCAUAAUUUCUUCUUUGGUCUCUUUAAUUUUUCUUUAAUCUAUGAUUCAACUUUUACCCUAUAUACAAUUUAGUCCUUUUACCUAAUUACUCUUAAUUCAUACAAAUUUACCUAACCAAAGCCUAAUUUACUAUAAAUAUUUACAAGUCCAAUUUACGGUAACGGAGUCUCGGAAAUACAGUUUCCGACACUCCUGACUAUCGGGUGGUUACAAUUCUGGUCGGAUUGAUGAACGAAUUACCCAUUGAUCCCAAAAUGUUUCAUGCAUCUCCUUCAAGGGUUGCGGACCAUAUACGAUUAGAUAGAUGACUCUUGAUGCCUAGUCUUGCCGAUACUAAUAUUAUUUUGUAAUAGAUACUCUCAUAUUUUUGUCACCAAAAAGAAAGUUGGUCUUAUAUGAAUUCAAGUAGGACUCGAGUUGUUUAUCUUAGUUUAAAAUUUUUAUUAUUUAAAGUAGUUUUAUAUUUAAUUAUUAGAAAUAAAAGUUCUUAAUUAUGGUUGGUUAGGAUAAUUUAGUAUGUCUUAGGAGUUUAUUUAGGAUAUUAAAUAUUUAUUUAUUUAGAAUUCAAUUAUAUAAGACUUGCAAAACCAAUUUUUUAAUUAGUUGUUAGGAGUUUAGCCAAGCAUUAAAGAAUGGAGAUUUGAGUUUAAUAAACUUGGCCAUUAGCCUUCCUUUCCAAGGUUUAGCCAUUUACCUUAUAUAUUUUCUUGUUAUCAUUAUUGCUAAGUCACAAGUUGAUUAGAGGUGACGUAAAAUAAAUUUCCUUCUUAAUUUUACAUUAAAAUCAUGUUCUUUUGUUGAUUUUUUGAAUUUUCUUGUAACACCCCCUAACCUUAAACCGUCGCCGAAAUAGGGUUAUGAAACAUUACCGGACAUAUUAAAAAUUUACAAAUAAACAAAUCAUAAAUAACCAACAUAUUAAAAAAAUAUAUAAAUCAUAAAUUCAUAUAAACAUUACUAAUUGACUUCAUUCGAUUUUUUUUUAUAAAAAUUUCGGCAGCAUUUCUAUUUAUUUUUACAUUAAACCUCCUGCAAAUAAAACCAUAAAUUUUCCAAACAUAACCAAUUCAACCAAUUCAUUUUGCAUUCACAUUUUCUAUUCUAAAUACAUUCUAAUCAAACCCAAUUAAUUCAAUAUCAAUUUAAAUUUAUCAAUGUACUAAUUAAAUUGGAAUGGAUAAAUUUCUUUCAUUAAAAUUCUUAGAUUUAUAAUACUAACUUUUUUAACUAUUUACAUUCAAAACAUAAUAACGUUUAUACACAUCCUAUGUACAUGCCACAUUACUAAAAGAAAAUAUACAUCACCAAAAUUUGCUGAAGUCGGGUCUGGUUUUGGAUGCUGAUUCAGUACUUGACUUCUACAACAUGCGCACGGAAACAACCGUACGCUGAGUAUUUCAUACUCAGUGGUAUUACUAUAAAUUAAACUAUUUAAUAAUAAAAUUUCAAAUAUUGACCAUAAUCUUAUAAAUUACUUUAAAUUAAAUAUACAUAUUCAUAUAUCAUUCCAUAGAUUUUAAAUUUAUAUAUAUAUUUACAUACUAAUUAAAUUUAUAAUUUAACUCAUACAUUCUUUCUCAUAUUUUUAUAUAGUGUCAAAUCAACCAAUUUCAUUUUCAAAUUUUCAUUUCAAUUAUUUACCCUAUUAACAAGGCUCGAAUUCUGACAGAUACGAGAAUUCCACCCAAACACACCAGAAUAUCCAACCUAAACACACCCGAAAUUAUUUAAAUCCUCCAGAACACACCAAUAAGGCAUUAAAUGCCUCUUCAGAUAAAUCGAAGCAUAUAAUAAUGUAAUCAUCUUCUCGGUCGAACUACAAAUCCCAUCACCACAUCACAAAUCCAAUGGCAUGCCAUUUGUAUCCAAUCUAGUCCGAUAAGUUAAUAGAGUAUUAUUUUACUUUUCCAAUUUCGAAUUCAUUUCCACACAAUUUCAAACAUUCAAACAAUUCAAAACAUCUAUUAUUUCAAUUCACAUAUAUUUCAAUAUAGCAUUUAGUAAAUAGUUUAAGUUAUAGUAAUACAAACCCGGAAUACACGUUUUCUCCUCAACGAUCUUUUCUUUUCCUUUAGAUGCCGAUGCCUCGUUUUCCUUGUUAGCUACGAAAAUAAUAAUUAUUUUCACUAUUAAUUACAGCAUUAAAAAUAAUAAUAAUAUUAAUUAAAUUUUAUUCAAUUCCUACUUAUUCCCAAUUUAAUUCUAACUAAGCUUACUUAUUUUUCUAACUUAAUUCAUACUUCUUUUCUACUUAAUGUCUUAUCAUAUUUAACUCUACUUUUCAAUAUUCAUAAUUAAACCCUAAUUUAAGACUUUUUAUAACUUAAUUCCAACUAUGUAAAAUUUAUAACUUAGUUUACAAAUCAAUCUUUUUAUCUAUUCUAACUAGAAAUUCUAUAAACUAAACCCCUGAUUUAACAGCUUGUUCAAAAACCUAUAAACUUCCAUAACCUCCACUUGAUUUCAACAAAACUUUGUUUUAAAGCUUCUAAAUCAUCAAAAUUAAGAGAAAAGGGAUAAAUUUAACUUACCAAUUAAGCUUGAAGCUUUAAAAUCCAAUUUUCCCCUUUUCUUUUCUUUCCCCUUUUCCUUCCCCUGUUUUCGUCUCUUUCUCUGUUUCUAUUCUGUUCUUCUUUUGUUUCUUUUUCUUUUUU
RNAcentral lists this long non-coding RNA (4616 nucleotides) under Gossypium barbadense (sea-island cotton). RNAcentral describes it as "long non-coding RNA (GBAR_LNC016867)". Lineage: Eukaryota; Viridiplantae; Streptophyta; Magnoliopsida; Malvales; Malvaceae. The record is from RNAcentral.